GCAUGGAUGAAUUCUGUGUCACUCUGUCAGUAGUGGAUGCAGUCAGACACCAUGCAAAAGCAUCCUUUCACUUCUUUACUAAGAGUGAGUGCUGUCCUGUGCCUCACCUACUCAAUGGAGGAGUGAAUACAAGU
Hucho hucho (huchen) is the source of this 134-nucleotide small nucleolar RNA. NCBI's taxonomy places the organism in Eukaryota, Metazoa, Chordata, Actinopteri, Salmoniformes, Salmonidae. The record is from Ensembl.